RNAcentral lists this ribosomal RNA (967 nucleotides) under uncultured organism. RNAcentral describes it as "bacterial SSU rRNA". It matches the Rfam family "Bacterial small subunit ribosomal RNA", at positions 293 to 1264 of the family's 1533-position model. The record is from RNAcentral.
UGAGAGGAUGAUCCCCCACACUGGUACUGAGACACGGACCAGACUCCUACGGGAGGCAGCAGUGAGGAAUAUUGGGCAAUGGGCGACAGCCUGACCCAGCCAUGCCGCGUGCAGGAUGACUGCCCUAUGGGUUGUAAACUGCUUUUAUACGGGAAGAAUGGUUCCUACGUGUAGGGAUUUGACGGUACCGUAAGAAUAAGCAUCGGCUAACUCCGUGCCAGCAGCCGCGGUAAUACGGAGGAUGCAAGCGUNAUCCGGAUUCAUUGGGUUUAAAGGGUGCGCAGGCGGAAUAUUAAGUCAGUGGUGAAAUCCUGCAGCUUAACCUUUGACUUGCCAUUGAGACUGAUAUUCUGGAAGUACUUGAGCUGGCCGGAAUGUCUAAUGUAACGUUGAAAUGCUUAGAUAUUACACAGAACACCGAUUGCGAAGGCAGCUCACUAAACUAACAUCGACGCUGAGGCACGAAAGCCUGGGGAGCGAACAGGAUUAGAUACCCUGGUAGUCCACGCCGUAAACUAUGAUCACUCGCUGUUGGCAAUACAUCGUCAGCGGCUGAGCGAAAGCAUUAAGUGAUCCACCUGGGGAUUACGAUCGCAAGAUUGAAACUCAAAGGAAUUGACGGGGGCCCGCACAAGCGGAGGAACAUGUGGUUUAAUUCGAUGAUACGCGAGGAACCUUACCUGGGCUUAAAUGCAGAUCGACGUUCCGGGAAACCGGAAUUCCUUCGGGCGAACUGCAAGGUGCUGCAUGGCUGUCGUCAGCUCGUGCCGUGAGGUGUCGGGUUAAGUCCCAUAACGAGCGCAACCAUNAUCGUUAGUUGCCAGCGGCUAAUGCCGGGAACUCUAACGAAACUGCCGCUCUAAACCGUGAGGAAGGUGGGGAUGACGUCAAGUCAGCACGGCCCUUAUGUCCAGGGCUACACACGUGUUACAAUGGUCGGUACAAAGGGCAGCUACCAGGCGACUGA